This 2924-nucleotide ribosomal RNA is filed under the name Escherichia coli 96.0497. RNAcentral's name for it is "bacterial LSU rRNA". It matches the Rfam family "Bacterial large subunit ribosomal RNA". The record is from RNAcentral. Lineage: Bacteria; Pseudomonadati; Pseudomonadota; Gammaproteobacteria; Enterobacterales; Enterobacteriaceae.
GAAACAUCUUCGGGUUGUGAGGUUAAGCGACUAAGCGUACACGGUGGAUGCCCUGGCAGUCAGAGGCGAUGAAGGACGUGCUAAUCUGCGAUAAGCGUCGGUAAGGUGAUAUGAACCGUUAUAACCGGCGAUUUCCGAAUGGGGAAACCCAGUGUGAUUCGUCACACUAUCAUUAACUGAAUCCAUAGGUUAAUGAGGCGAACCGGGGGAACUGAAACAUCUAAGUACCCCGAGGAAAAGAAAUCAACCGAGAUUCCCCCAGUAGCGGCGAGCGAACGGGGAGCAGCCCAGAGCCUGAAUCAGUGUGUGUGUUAGUGGAAGCGUCUGGAAAGGCGCGCGAUACAGGGUGACAGCCCCGUACACAAAAAUGCACAUGCUGUGAGCUCGAUGAGUAGGGCGGGACACGUGGUAUCCUGUCUGAAUAUGGGGGGACCAUCCUCCAAGGCUAAAUACUCCUGACUGACCGAUAGUGAACCAGUACCGUGAGGGAAAGGCGAAAAGAACCCCGGCGAGGGGAGUGAAAAAGAACCUGAAACCGUGUACGUACAAGCAGUGGGAGCACGCUUAGGCGUGUGACUGCGUACCUUUUGUAUAAUGGGUCAGCGACUUAUAUUCUGUAGCAAGGUUAACCGAAUAGGGGAGCCGAAGGGAAACCGAGUCUUAACUGGGCGUUAAGUUGCAGGGUAUAGACCCGAAACCCGGUGAUCUAGCCAUGGGCAGGUUGAAGGUUGGGUAACACUAACUGGAGGACCGAACCGACUAAUGUUGAAAAAUUAGCGGAUGACUUGUGGCUGGGGGUGAAAGGCCAAUCAAACCGGGAGAUAGCUGGUUCUCCCCGAAAGCUAUUUAGGUAGCGCCUCGUGAAUUCAUCUCCGGGGGUAGAGCACUGUUUCGGCAAGGGGGUCAUCCCGACUUACCAACCCGAUGCAAACUGCGAAUACCGGAGAAUGUUAUCACGGGAGACACACGGCGGGUGCUAACGUCCGUCGUGAAGAGGGAAACAACCCAGACCGCCAGCUAAGGUCCCAAAGUCAUGGUUAAGUGGGAAACGAUGUGGGAAGGCCCAGACAGCCAGGAUGUUGGCUUAGAAGCAGCCAUCAUUUAAAGAAAGCGUAAUAGCUCACUGGUCGAGUCGGCCUGCGCGGAAGAUGUAACGGGGCUAAACCAUGCACCGAAGCUGCGGCAGCGACGCUGAUGCGUUGUUGGGUAGGGGAGCGUUCUGUAAGCCUGCGAAGGUGUGCUGUGAGGCAUGCUGGAGGUAUCAGAAGUGCGAAUGCUGACAUAAGUAACGAUAAAGCGGGUGAAAAGCCCGCUCGCCGGAAGACCAAGGGUUCCUGUCCAACGUUAAUCGGGGCAGGGUGAGUCGACCCCUAAGGCGAGGCCGAAAGGCGUAGUCGAUGGGAAACAGGUUAAUAUUCCUGUACUUGGUGUUACUGCGAAGGGGGGACGGAGAAGGCUAUGUUGGCCGGGCGACGGUUGUCCCGGUUUAAGCGUGUAGGCUGGUUUUCCAGGCAAAUCCGGAAAAUCAAGGCUGAGGCGUGAUGACGAGGCACUACGGUGCUGAAGCAACAAAUGCCCUGCUUCCAGGAAAAGCCUCUAAGCAUCAGGUAACAUCAAAUCGUACCCCAAACCGACACAGGUGGUCAGGUAGAGAAUACCAAGGCGCUUGAGAGAACUCGGGUGAAGGAACUAGGCAAAAUGGUGCCGUAACUUCGGGAGAAGGCACGCUGAUAUGUAGGUGAAGUCCCUCGCGGAUGGAGCUGAAAUCAGUCGAAGAUACCAGCUGGCUGCAACUGUUUAUUAAAAACACAGCACUGUGCAAACACGAAAGUGGACGUAUACGGUGUGACGCCUGCCCGGUGCCGGAAGGUUAAUUGAUGGGGUCAGCGCAAGCGAAGCUCUUGAUCGAAGCCCCGGUAAACGGCGGCCGUAACUAUAACGGUCCUAAGGUAGCGAAAUUCCUUGUCGGGUAAGUUCCGACCUGCACGAAUGGCGUAAUGAUGGCCAGGCUGUCUCCACCCGAGACUCAGUGAAAUUGAACUCGCUGUGAAGAUGCAGUGUACCCGCGGCAAGACGGAAAGACCCCGUGAACCUUUACUAUAGCUUGACACUGAACAUUGAGCCUUGAUGUGUAGGAUAGGUGGGAGGCUUUGAAGUGUGGACGCCAGUCUGCAUGGAGCCGACCUUGAAAUACCACCCUUUAAUGUUUGAUGUUCUAACGUGGACCCGUAAUCCGGGUUGCGGACAGUGUCUGGUGGGUAGUUUGACUGGGGCGGUCUCCUCCUAAAGAGUAACGGAGGAGCACGAAGGUUGGCUAAUCCUGGUCGGACAUCAGGAGGUUAGUGCAAUGGCAUAAGCCAGCUUGACUGCGAGCGUGACGGCGCGAGCAGGUGCGAAAGCAGGUCAUAGUGAUCCGGUGGUUCUGAAUGGAAGGGCCAUCGCUCAACGGAUAAAAGGUACUCCGGGGAUAACAGGCUGAUACCGCCCAAGAGUUCAUAUCGACGGCGGUGUUUGGCACCUCGAUGUCGGCUCAUCACAUCCUGGGGCUGAAGUAGGUCCCAAGGGUAUGGCUGUUCGCCAUUUAAAGUGGUACGCGAGCUGGGUUUAGAACGUCGUGAGACAGUUCGGUCCCUAUCUGCCGUGGGCGCUGGAGAACUGAGGGGGGCUGCUCCUAGUACGAGAGGACCGGAGUGGACGCAUCACUGGUGUUCGGGUUGUCAUGCCAAUGGCACUGCCCGGUAGCUAAAUGCGGAAGAGAUAAGUGCUGAAAGCAUCUAAGCACGAAACUUGCCCCGAGAUGAGUUCUCCCUGACUCCUUGAGAGUCCUGAAGGAACGUUGAAGACGACGACGUUGAUAGGCCGGGUGUGUAAGCGCAGCGAUGCGUUGAGCUAACCGGUACUAAUGAACCGUGAGGCUUAACCUU